This 253-nucleotide ribosomal RNA is filed under the name Hungatella effluvii. Its description in RNAcentral is "partial 16S ribosomal RNA". It matches the Rfam family "Bacterial small subunit ribosomal RNA", at positions 524 to 776 of the family's 1533-position model. Lineage: Bacteria; Bacillati; Bacillota; Clostridia; Lachnospirales; Lachnospiraceae. The record is from RNAcentral.
UACGUAGGGGGCAAGCGUUAUCCGGAUUUACUGGGUGUAAAGGGAGCGUAGACGGUUAAGCAAGUCUGAAGUGAAAGCCCGGGGCUCAACCCCGGUACUGCUUUGGAAACUGUUUGACUUGAGUGCAGGAGAGGUAAGUGGAAUUCCUAGUGUAGCGGUGAAAUGCGUAGAUAUUAGGAGGAACACCAGUGGCGAAGGCGGCUUACUGGACUGUAACUGACGUUAAGGCUCGAAAGCGUGGGGAGCAAACAGG